UCUAUGAAAAAUUCCAAGAUGCCCGAAAUGCAAACACCUCCUUUUUUUUCUCUAUGCCUCCCGUGUGUGGCACCCAGGAAAUCCAAGGUAGAUUUAGGGAAUCGUAAAAUAAAAGCAGGAGCAAGCAUUAAUUAAAGGAAUUUCCAGGAUUUUUUCGUAAUGAAAUUUGAAACAAGAAGUUCAAGUGCAUAAUACAAGUCUAAACUUAUCGAUCGAAUUCACCAUCAUCAAAUAUCAAUAAUCCAAAUGGCUCCUCAAAAGCAAUCCAACCCAGAAACAGACCCUGGCACUAUUGCAG
Molecule: non-coding RNA, 298 nt
Organism: Bemisia tabaci
Lineage: Eukaryota; Metazoa; Arthropoda; Insecta; Hemiptera; Aleyrodidae
Source: RefSeq, a predicted model, not a curated record